AUUGAACGCUGGCGGCAUGCUUUACACAUGCAAGUCGAACGGCAGCGGGGUAGUGCUUGCACUACUGCCGGCGAGUGGCGAACGGGUGAGUAAUAUAUCGGAACGUACCGAGUAAUGGGGGAUAACCAAUCGAAAGAUUGGCUAAUACCGCAUACGUCCUAAGGGAGAAAGCGGGGGAUCGCAAGACCUCGCGUUAUUCGAGCGGCCGAUAACUGAUUAGCUAGUUGGUGGGGUAAAGGCCUACCAAGGCGACGAUCAGUAGCGGGUCUGAGAGGACGAUCCGCCACACUGGGACUGAGGCACGGCCCAGACUCCUACGGGAGGCAGCAGUGGGGAAUUUUGGACAAUGGGGGCAACCCUGAUCCAGCCAUGCCGCGUGUAUGAAGAAGGCCUUCGGGUUGUAAAGUACUUUUGUUAGGGAAGAAAAGGGAAGUGCUAAUACCACUUUUUGCUGACGGUACCUAAAGAAUAAGCACCGGCUAACUACGUGCCAGCAGCCGCGGUAAUACGUAGGGUGCGAGCGUUAAUCGGAAUUACUGGGCGUAAAGCGAGCGCAGACGGUUACUUAAGCAGGAUGUGAAAUCCCCGGGCUUAACCUGGGAACUGCGUUCUGAACUGGGUAGCUAGAGUAUGUCAGAGGGGGGUAGAAUUCCACGUGUAGCAGUGAAAUGCGUAGAGAUGUGGAGGAAUACCGAUGGCGAAGGCAGCCCCCUGGGAUGAUACUGACGUUCAUGCUCGAAAGCGUGGGUAGCAAACAGG
RNAcentral lists this ribosomal RNA (759 nucleotides) under uncultured Eikenella sp. RNAcentral describes it as "bacterial SSU rRNA". It matches the Rfam family "Bacterial small subunit ribosomal RNA", at positions 28 to 776 of the family's 1533-position model. The record is from RNAcentral. Lineage: Bacteria; Pseudomonadati; Pseudomonadota; Betaproteobacteria; Neisseriales; Neisseriaceae.